RNA transcript from Astyanax mexicanus (Mexican tetra), 11534 nucleotides. It is a transcript of the gene named beta-1,3-glucuronyltransferase 1 (glucuronosyltransferase P) a, with no coding region annotated. The transcript has 10 exons. The record is from RefSeq and is a predicted model, not a curated record. Lineage: Eukaryota; Metazoa; Chordata; Actinopteri; Characiformes; Acestrorhamphidae.
UGGCUGAGGAAGCUGCUCUACAGCCUCAUAAACACAUUCGCAGAUGCCUCUCCAUCGCCCGCUCAGCCUGACCUCUCUCUGAUCAGAGGGCGAGAGACAUACAUAUAGAAAGAGAGAGAGAGAGAGACAUAUAUAUAUAUUUAUAUAUAUUUAUAUAUGUAUAUAUAAAGAGAGAAAGAAAGACAGAGAGAGAGAAUAUGAAUUAGAAUAAGAAGCAUCAAGCAAAGCAAGUAGAGCAAGAGCAGCAUCGCCGCAUCACUGCUGCUGAUCAUCAUCGCCUGCAUCCCUCUGUAUUCAACGAGAACGAAGAGGAGAAAGAGGAGAGGAAAGAAAGAGAAGAAGAAGAAGAAGGAGAAGAACAAGGAGGAGGAGGAAAAGGAGGGGGUAGCGUAACAGCUUUCCCUCUCGCAGCAUCUCAACCGCACACACACACUCAAACACACACUCAAACACACACACACACAUACUCACUCCGAUUCCCCAAGCCCAAAGCCCAGCGACGGGAACGCAUCGGCGAAUUAGCGAAUCAGGCCGGGAGCGGUAGAAGAGAAGAAGAGCCACACGUUCGGAGGCGUAAAGGCUCUCGAUUAGAAUGCAGCUGACGCUUCCAGCUCAAACAAAGAGGAGAUGGUUUAACUGAAGGAAGCUCUGGUGCCCUUCCAGCGGCAUGUGGAGGGAAUAGCCGAGCCGAGACGAGCCGAAUAGCCGGCCCCUGCCAAGAGCCGCCUGCUCUGAGGACGUGACCCAACACGUGGUGUGGAGACCAGCAGCAGAACCUCCAGAAAAACACCAGCAUCUCCAGCUUCUGCAGAAUCUCCUCUCCAGAGAUACCCCCCGUCCACUGAACCCCUGUCCUAUCAGCUCUCUGUGUGGAUUAAAAUUUACUGGAUUACUGGAGCUCAGAAAAAACAUCGUUCACAGAAAAAGAGGAGAAGAAGAAGGAGAAACGCCACACCGUUAAUCGUAAGUUUUGCUGUAUAAGAUGACCUGGGCAGUGAUGGCCUGGCGCAUAAUCCCCAGCAAGCAGCCUCUACAGCUGCGUUACAAACACACACCUGUCCAGCACUUAUAACCACAGGUAAUGACCAGGCACAGAACCAACCCUGGAGAUGCCGAAGAGAAGAGACAUUCUUGCCAUCGUGUUAAUCGUGUUACCGUGGACCCUGCUCAUCACCGUGUGGCACCAGAGCGCUAUCGCCCCUCUUCUCGCCAUCCGAAAGGCCUGUCACCAUCUAGUAAAAGAGAUCUUUAUCAUACCCGAGUGGCUAAUGGUCCAGCGGCAGCGCCUGGCAGAUGACGGGUCGGACGCCCGGCGCGAGGCGGGUCCCGCUGACUCCAAGGAGUACUGCUCCCCCGACAAGGACAUAGUGGAGGUGGUGCGCACCGAGUAUGUCUACACCCGGCCGCCGCCCUGGUCCGACGUGCUGCCCACCAUCCACGUCAUCACGCCCACCUACAGCCGGCCGGUGCAGAAGGCCGAGCUCACCCGGCUCGCCAACACCUUCCUCCACGUGCCCAACCUGCACUGGAUCCUGGUGGAGGACUCCCAGAGACGGACACCGCUGGUGACCCGGCUGCUCCGGGAGACCGGCCUCAACUACACCCACCUGAACGUGGAGACGCCGCGCAACUACAAGCUGAGGGGGGACACGCGAGACCCCCGCAUCCCCCGAGGAACCAUGCAGAGGAACCUGGCGCUCAGGUGGCUCAGAGAGACCUUCAGCCCCAACAGCAGCCAGGCGGGCAUCGUCUACUUCGCCGACGACGACAACACGUACAGCCUGGAGCUCUUCGAGGAGAUGCGCUCCACCCGUAAGGUCUCGGUUUGGCCCGUGGCGUUUGUUGGAGGUUUACGGUACGAGUCUCCGAAGGUUAACGCCGCUGGGAAAGUCUACGGCUGGAAAACGGUGUUCGACCCCCAUCGGCCUUUCGCCAUCGACAUGGCCGGCUUCGCCAUCAACCUGCGGCUCAUCCUGUUCAAACCCCAGGCCUACUUUAAACUGCGGGGGGUGAAGGGGGGGUACCAGGAGAGCAGCCUCCUCCGAGAGCUCGUCACUCUCAACGACCUGGAGCCUAAAGCUGCUAAUUGCACUAAGAUUCUCGUGUGGCACACGAGGACAGAAAAGCCCGUCCUGGUGAACGAAGGGAAGAAGGGCUUCACAGACCCGAACGUGGAGAUCUGACGUCUGCCUGAAUUCUGAUCUGUAUAAAGUGAUAAAGCUUUAUAGUAAAUGACUCAGUAAACUGCUGCAGGUGUGGAGCUGAGGGUCGGAGUCCAGCGCUGUGUCUUUAUUUCUCUGCUCUGCUGCAGCUGCAAGAGCUGGAACAUUAACGGAUGAGUAAAUUCAGGCACUUGGCUUCAUCCAGGUCCGACGGGAACACGCAGAGACGGAGACGGUACCUCAGAACCAAAACCUUUGGACAAAUUAAUCUCGUUCCUACUGACUUUAUAACCAAACAGACGUUACUGCUACAGAGAUACAGUAUCAGUUCAAAGUUCAAAGCACAGAUUGGUUAAAACAAGGCAAUAUUUCUCAGUAUUUUAUAAGAAGAAGCAGAAUCAGAAGGAGAUGAACUCGAGAGGGAUGUGGGUGAUGCUUCCUGCAGGCGCAGCUUGGGGCCGGAGCGACGGGGCACUCGACCCGCUGACGAACCUGCCACUCUUCUACCCGGCACACGGUGCCCGCCUCGUGCCAGGAGGGUAAUAACUGCAGAGAGUGGCAGGGCGGGAGGGGUGGAGCCUGGCUGAAGAGUUGAUGAGACUCUGGAACUAAAGUAGAAUAUGAUUGGACGAUUGAAAAACGAUUGGAAUUUAAAGCGAUUGGUCUCGGAUUGGACUGGACUCGGACUCGACUCUUUUAUUCGAGAGAUUUAACGCGUACGCAGAAGGGAAUGUGUUCUGUUUGUUUUUUACAUAACGCAAAAUCUACGUUUAUCUAUGUUUAAUUUAAUUGCGUUUGCGCGUCUUGAUAGAAAGUUCAGAACUACGUUCUUUACGCUGUUCUUACGUUGUUCUUUACGUUGUUCUUUUACAUUGUUCAUUCACUGUUUGCGUCGACUGUCUCGUUGUUCUAGCUCAGAACUACUGAACUACUGGUUUUGGAUUCUUGUUGCCUCAACUCAAAUACAGGUCCUCGAAGCAAUUUUGCAAAGCAGUAUUAUAUAUAUAUUUAUAUAUAUUUAUAUACAAGGUUUGGACAAUGAAACUGAAACACCUGUCAUCAUUUUAGUGUGGGAUUUUAGGUUUCAUGGCUAAAUUGGAGCAGCCUGGUGUUCAAUCUUCAUUAACUGCACAUUGCACCAGUAAGAGCAGAGUGUGAAGGUUCAAUUAGCAGGGUAAGAGCACAGUUCUGCUCUAAAUAUUGCAAUGCACACAACAUUAUGGGAGACAUACCAGAGUUCAAAAGAGGACAAAUUGUUGGUGCACGUCUUGCUGGAGCAUCUGUGACCAAGACAGCAAGUCUUUGUGAUGCAUCAAGAGCCACGGUAUCCAGGGUAAUGUCAGCAUACCACCAAGAAGGACCAACCACAUCCAACAGGAUUAACUGUGGACGCUGUAAGAGGAAGCUGUCUGAAAGGGAUGUUCGGGUGCUAACCCGGAUUGUAUCCAAAAAACAUUAAACCACGGCUGAUCAAAUCAUGCAGAAUUCAAUGUGCACCUCAACUCUCCUGUUUCCACCAGAACUGUCCGUCACCACAAUCAAUUAUUGUGCUCUAAAACCAGGUGUUUCAGUUUCAUUCUCCAACCCCUGUACAUAUAUAUAUAUAUAUAUAUAUAAAACACACAUCCUGAGCCUGGCAGCCAUGUUGCUUUUUGACGGUCAGUGAGUGUAUAACACUUUAUAUUAUUUUUUUUCUGAUUUUAGGACCUUACGGCACUUAAAUGUUACGUCCAGUGUUCCAGAGCGGACAUUACGUUGUAAAUAAUUUACUUUACGAACAGUCAUAGGCUUCAGAACCAAGUGGCAUUAAAAAGUCUAGCGUUAAAACUCAACAAGAUCAAGCAAUGUAACUCUACUGUAUUUAUAAUUCAUAUUCCAGUGUUAAAGUAAAGAGAGGCUGAAGAAGAACAAUUUACUAAGACGUCCACACGUCGGCGAAUAAGGUAUAAGACCACGCACAUGCUCAGAGAGGGGCACUCAGAUAUAUAACAGCAGGGUAGAGUUUAGCGUUCAGAACAGGGAUUCGGCAUUUCGUCUCAAUCUGUUAAACAUGGUGGCGGUGGGGCUCUUUUUGAAACCCUUUUUUUUUACAUCCCAGCUGGUUGGGAUUUCAUCACAGCAUCAAAAAACGGUAAAAAAUGAUUCAGUCUUUUCUCACGAAAGUGUUUUUUUCUGACAUUUCCAGACAAAUAUUUCAGUUGCCAAAUAUUUAAUGCAUCCCUAUUUAGAUUUGCUAGAUUUAAAGAUUAAUACAGUUUAAUAAGAUUAAUAAGUUCAGUGUUCAGGACAGGGAUUCAACAUUUUGUCUCAUUCUGUUAAACAUGGUGGUGGUGGAGCUCGAUUUAAAUCACUUCAGUACUACUAUUGAUGCAACAAUAUGAAUAUAUCCCACAUUAAUAAAACAUUACAACAUUAAUCUGAAAGCUAAAUAUCAAAAUAUGACAUUUUUUCACUGUAGUAUUAAUUAAACUAAAUAUAUUAAUAUAUAUAUAUGUAUAUAUUUAGUUUCUCUUUUCAAAGAAAAAGUUAAAUUUUUUAAAGAUUAUUUCCCUACUGAUUUUGAUCAGAAAAAUUGUUCAGUCUUUUUUCACAAAAGUGUUUUUUCUGACACAUUCGAACAUAUAACUUCAGUUGCCAAAUAUAUAUUUCAUCCCUAUUAAAUACUUAUUAAUUUGUGCUAGAUUUAAAGAUGAAUACAGAGUUCGGUGUUCAGGACAGGAAUUCAGCACUUCGUCUCAUUCUGUUAAACAUGGUGGUGGAGGAGCUUGAUUAAAAUCACUUUAAUACUACUAUUGAUUAUAUAAUAUGGGAUAUGAAAGUAUCCCAUAUUUUUUGGCCUAAACCCAACAAAAUAAAACAUUAAUCUGAAGGCUGAAUACCAAAAUUUGCCACUUUUUCACUAUUGCACAACUUGAAUAGGAUGUUUCUUUUGCUUUUCAAAGAAAAAGUAGUUACAAUUAAAAAAAAAUAAUAAUUAAUGAUUUUGAGCACAUCGAGCACAUUUUUUACUGCCCAAAAAAUCUUUUUUUCACUAAUUAAUCAGUUAGUCAAUUGCCUAAGCGCUUUUGUGCCAUUUUUAGACAAAUAAUUUGUCUAAAAUAAAUAUUUGGUUGCCAAAUAUUUAGUGCAUCCCUGCUGGUUGUGAUUUCAUCACAUUAACAAAAAUCUGUAAAAAUUAUUCAUUUUUUUCACACAAAAAGUGCUUUUUUGCCAUUUUUCGGAGUGUUUAUAACAAGGAUUCAGUACUUUUCCUCAUUCUGUUAAACAUGGUGGCGGUGGAGCUUGAUUAAAAUCAGUUCAUUCAUUAAUCUGAAAAGGCUGAAUAAAAAAAUUUGCCACUUUUUUCACAAUUGUCUUAAUUAAAUAGGCUGCAUAUGUUUAUUUUGCUUUUCAAAGAACCAUCUUUGAACAUCACCAUCAUAAAAAAACACUUAUUUAGCAAAACAUUGAAAAUAUUUUUUUUUUUAUGUAUCGUCUUCAUCACAUUAGGAAAAGACAAUAAAUAUGAAUCUCAAAACUAAUUUCAACCAUUUUUAUAGAUACUUUUAACAUUAAAUUGGGCCAAAUUGACCCCAUUGCAGCAUUAUAGUUUCAAUCGCUUAUUAGCAUACAAAACAGACAACAUUAUACCUUUAUUGAUCUCAUUAUGAGUUUAGUGCUCAUGAGGCUUCAUGAGGCUUCAUUAAAAUCAAACCUCCGUGCAUCCAACCAGCCUUAAAGUCAGUCUUCACACUGUACUCCAACCAUACUCCACCACACGGCUACCAGAAUGAAGACGUUAGCCCGUAAGAGUCUCAGCUGGUGAGGAUCGGGAGAUUUCUCUGAACUCGUAUCCACCUGGGCAGAGCUUUCAUCUCACCCUCACAAAUCUCCACAGCUCCACCUGAAUUUCACACCACCCUGGAGCUCCUGAGAGCUUCGUUUAACAACGCUCCUCACAAAGACACUGUUCCAGAAGGCUACAGAGCGACAUGAGAGUGAGUGAAAACAAAACCGCCGCCACGGCGUAGAGAGACGUCUGAGGCAACACUAAAAUCCUGCACAGCCCAAACUCCAUACCCCAUACACCUAAACGAUUAUACACAAUUACACGCCUCUACCAUCAGAAACCAGGAGAUAUGAGGAUGAAAUCUUAUCUGUAGGUUGAGAUGAGGCUAAAAAUCCCAACAAACGUAGUGCAGAAUAUCACCAUCGUCUCAAUGUUGAGUCAAAUUAACCUUACCUAGAGAAUGUCUGGAGUUGUAGAGGUUUAAAAUGUUCUUUCCUUCAGUUCAAUUUCAUAAAAUCAAUUAAAUUAAUAUCUGGAGUUUUAGAGCAUCCUAAUGUUCCUCUUGUUCUUUCCUUUUGGAUAGGAUUAAUUUGACUCAACGUUGAGACGGUAACCAUGUUCUGCACGACGUUUGUAACAUUAUCCAGAAGGAAGGAACAAGAGAAAGAUUAGAAAGCUCUUAAACUCCAGAAAUAAAUUUGAUUGAUUUUAUGAAAUUGAACUCUAAAAUCAUGUAAUUUGAACCAGAUCUAAGCUGUGAAAUCCUCCAAAAACCCAACAAACGUAGUGCAGAAUAUCUUUAUCUUCUCAACGUUGAGUCAAAUUAACAAUAUCCUGAAGGAAGUACCAGGAGGAAGAUUAGAAAGCUCUAAAACUCCAGAUAUUAAUUCGAUUCAUUUUAUGAAAUUGAACUAAAGGAAAAAACAUUAGGAACCUCUACAACUCCAGAGCAUCGCUAUCAUCUCAGAGUGACUCUAGCUCUAAACUCUGGGUUUUUGUAGUUUGAACCCGGCCUAAGCUGUCAAAUCCUUCAAAAACCCAACACACGUAGUGCAGAACAUCGUUAUCGUCUCAACGUUGAGUCAAAUUAACCUUAUACUGAUGGUGGAGUGACUCUAGCUCUAAUCUCAACCUACAGAUGAAGACCUACCUCUCGGUUUCAGCCUCGUAUCUCUGGGUUUUUGUAGUCUAAACCUGGCCUAAGCUGUCAAAUCCUCCGAAAACCCAACAAACGUAGCGCAGAACAUCGUUUACAUCUCAACGUUGAGUCAAAUUAACAUUAUCCAGAAGGAAGGAACAGGAGGAACAUUAGGAACCUCUACAUCUCCAGAUAUUAAUUUGAUUUUAUACAAUUUUAACUAACAUCGUGUAGUGUAAACCUGGCCUAAGUGUCGAAAUAUUCCAAAAACCCAACAAACGUAGUGCAAAAUAUGUUUUUCAUCUCAACGCUGAGUCAAAUUAACAUUAUCCAGAAGGAAGGAACAUGAGGAACAUUAGGAACCUCUACAACUCCAGACAUUAAUUGAAUUGAUUUUAUGAAAUUGAACUAAAGGAAAAAACAUUAAAACCUCUACAACACCAGAACAUCUUUAUCUUUAUCUUUAUACAUAUUUUAUGAAAUUGAAUCUAAAAUCGUGUAGUUUGAACUUGGCCUAAACUGCAAGAACCCAACAAACGUAGUGUAGAACAUGGUUAUCGUCUCAACGCUGAGUCAAAUUAACAUUAUCCAGAAGGAAGGAACAUGAGGAACAUUAGGAAGCGCUGAUUGAUUGAUUUUAUGAAAUCAUGUAGUUUGAACCCGGCCUAAGCUGCGAAAUCCUUCAAAAAAACAACAAAUGUAGUGCAGAAUAUCAUUAAAUUGGUUUCAAACUACAAAAACCCAGAGAUACGAGGCUGAAACCAAGAUGUAUCACUUCAUCUGUAGUUUGAGAUCAGAGCUCGAUCCAAUCCACAUUCAGAAUAUCGUUAAUUUGACUCAACAUUGAGACGAUAAUGAUGUUCUUCACCACGUUUGUUGGGUUUUUUAAGGAUUUUGCAGCUUAGGCCAGGUUGAAACUACACAAUUUUAGGUUACAUUUUAUAAAAUCCUAUUAAAAUCUGGAAUUGUAGAGGUGUUUAAUGUUCCUCCUGUUCCUUCCUUUUGAAUUAUGUUAAUUUGACUCAACGUUGAGACGAUAACAAUGUUCUGCACUAAGUUUGUUGGGUUUUUGGAGGAUUUUGCAACUUAAGCUGGUUUCAAACUACUAAAACCCAGAGAUACGAGGCUGAAACUGAGAUAUAGCACUUCGUCUGUAGAUUGAGAUCAGAGCUAGAUCCAAUCCACAUUCAGAAUAUCUUUAAUUCGACUCAACGCUGAGACAAUAACGAUGUUCUUCACCACGUUUGGUGGGUUUUUGGAGAAGUAGUGGGAACCUGGCAUUAGGUUAAAGUGAGUUAAAGAUCAGUCAAUCUAGAUAUGUAGUAUGUAAUAUGUAAUCAGCUGGGUAUUGAUUGGUUGGUUGCAGCAGGCCCUUGCCGGUUAUUUCUGAGCACUCUCUCUCUAUAUAUAUAAAUACUGUAAAUGUGAUGGUCUUAGGCAUAUUUUUGCACCUGUCUGCCUUUAACCCAUUAGCACAGGAGUAUUUGCAUUGCUGGUGCACAUUAUUUUCGGUUUAUUUGUUUGUUUUUUGUUGUUUUAUUUGCUGUAUAUGAAUAUGACGGUAGCACAGAGGCUGGUACAGCAUGCACUGACUGCGAGUUGCCUCCCUACACUGUAAUAAUGACAUUGGAAAUGAGCUAACGUCGCUAACGUUGCUAACGUCGCCCCGUAACGAAGUUAUUACUUACGAACAAAUUGAUGUGUGUACGAUGUCUUGCUUUUCGCAAGGCAAAUUCAACGAUUCAUACGAAACAAACAGAAAAAAAGCUCCGGAAAACUGGAUUUUGGGUUUUCUCGUUAAAAGACGCUGCAAGGAAGGCGCUUAUUGCAGCGAUCCAUCUCAGCCCAAGUCAUUAUUUUGCACAGCGGCACCCAGUUUCCUGCCAGGAACCUCCUUAUUCUGUACAUUGUAAAAAAAAAUGCUGUGUGUUCCUUUUUCUUUCUUUUUUUUUUGUAUUUAUCCUAUACUGAAAUAUUUAUUUAUUGUAUUUAUUUUGCAUUUAUAAAAUGUCCUGAAGUAUUCACACCAACUCAGAUCUCAAUUCUCACACUUUAAACCACGUAUUCCAGAAAGACGUUUCCAGAAAGUAGAAUAUAUAUAAGUUUAUAAGAUUUUUCAGAUCAAGCAGAAGUCAGUGAGAGCCACAACAAACAUGAUAAAGGCAAAUAUCCUUAAAGAAAUAAUAGUUUAAUAACAAUAAAUAAAUAAAUAAACUAAAUUAAUCAAGUUUUCUUCUUAAGUUUUAGUUUUGCACUGGAGCUCAAGGCAAAUUACAAAAUAACUGAAAUUUAAAAGGGGAAAUGUGGUUAAACAUCCAAUAAAUAUUAUCUAUACAGAUAUGAAUCCGAUCUUUCAAACCACUACAGGACAUGAUCUCAGACAAACUUCAGAAGGUGGUCUGAGACAAACUCCAAACUUUUAAUCACACAACUUCAGGAGAUGGUCUAAAACAAACUUCAGAGAUUCAUUUAAAAUAGAUAAAAAUCUGAUCUCUCAAACCACUUCAGGAGGUCGUCAGAGAUGCAUUUAUAACGGAAACAAUUUCAAUCACUCAAACUACUUCAGGACAUGGUCUGAGACAAACUUCAGGAGGUGAUCUCAGACACACUUAUUUUUUUUUAAAAAAACAACCUCAGAAUGUGGUCUGAGCUGCAUUUAAAACAGAUAAAAUAAAACUCAAACCAUUUAAGGACAUGGUCUUAAGUCCUAUCCGGAUGGGAUUCAUUUCUCAGGGGGGCGUCUGUAAAAAUUUCACAAUAAAUCUCUUGCAAUUGAAAAAACAGGAGGAACAGUGAGUUUUUAGGCUUUCUCAGUCACAUGACAUCAUGUUCAGUAGCUCCUCCAUUUCCACUCGCUGUUGUGUUUUUAACGUGGAUCUCUGUGGAAACUCCCAAGCUCCAAAGUGUAAUUACGGUGCGCAGCAGUGGACAAAUAUCUAUUUUAUUAAACUUGAGGAGACGAAACUCAGAGAUGUGCGUCCGAACGGGACUAAAAUUACCGGAGGAGCACGGAGUUCAGAGAAAAACAGUAGAUAAUUCAGCCUGUAAUUUUCUCAGAGGACGUCUGAGAAAAACACCUACAUGAUCGUUCUGGACGGGAAUAAAAUCACAUAGGAUAAAAACCCCCAUAAAAGAGAAAAUUACCCAGAACCCCCUGAGAUACUAAUCCUGUCUGGAUAGGGCUUAAGAUAAAUUUAAAGAGGUGGUCUGAGACACAUUUAAAAAAUAAAAAAUCUGAUCACAGCGAUGUAGCUCCAGCUCAAAACUACAGAAACUAUUGGGAAGCCCAACAGGAUCCCAGUUUUUGACACACCUUAAAUUCAGUGUUUAUUCAUUAUAUUAAAAUGUUCUGUAUUGUAGAUUAAUACUAAAGUCAUACAAACUAUGAAGAAAAACAUAUGGCAUUAUAUAGUAACAAAAAGUGUUAAACAAACUGGAACUCAGGCUUUCAGUUAACAGCUGUGCUGAACUCAUCAAGAGUUAAUUACUUGAAUUUCUUGUCUCUUAAUAAAGUGUUUGAGAGCAUCAGUUAAAGUAAAGUAGUGAAGAGCUAGAGCAAGAACUACUCAACUAAGUAAAGAAAAAUACUUUAUUUAUUAUUACUUUAUAUAAUUAAUUAAGAAAUAAUGGUCAUUCUAUAAGAAAGUACAUUUGAAGAACUUUCAAAGUUUCCUCAAGUGCAGUUGGGGAAAAAAGACCAUCAAAAACGCUAUGAUGAUGGAACUGGCACUCAUCUGGACUGCUUCAGAAAAUGAAAAGCAAAGUUUUUUAUUUUGUUUGUUUAACACUUUGGAAAAAAUUAAAAGACCACAGUUUCUGAAUCAGUUUCUCUGAUUUUGCUAUUUAUAGGUUUAUGUUUGAUUAUAUUCCAGAGGUUUUUUAUGUGGUAAAAUCAAAGAAACUCAUCAUUUUUAAGUGCUCUCUUAUUUUUAUCCAUGUUUUUAUGAUGAACUUCUCCUUUAAGACCCUGCAGCUCUUGACGUUUCCACAUUCCUGAGUUUCUAGUAUGAAAACAUAAGUAAUGCCAAAUCAUUAUAAAACCAUUAAUACAUUAAAUUACUGAAAUAAAAUAGUGGUGUGUUCACUGACAUUUCCUACAAAUACACAAAUAUAAUACAACCCGUCACUGAGACUGAGUACCCUCACAUACUGCUCUUACUGUUUCAGUUUCCAUUUACACACUUACACACACCCUUACACACCCUUACACACUCUUACACACCCUUACACACUCUUACACACUCUUACACACCCUUACACACUCUUACACACACUUACACACUCUUACACACUCUUACAUGCCCUUACACACACACUCGCGCCUCUAAAUCUCUUCAGUUUGAAACACAAAGCGAAGCAUUUCUGCAUGUUACUCUUGUAAAUGUUCUUUUUUUCUCCAUGCCUCAUUUCAGAAGAGAAAGAGAUUCAAAACGACAGAAAACAAUAAACAUUUCAAAAGCUCUGA